Long non-coding RNA from Helianthus annuus (common sunflower), 273 nucleotides. RefSeq lists it as uncharacterized. The transcript has 3 exons. NCBI's taxonomy places the organism in Eukaryota, Viridiplantae, Streptophyta, Magnoliopsida, Asterales, Asteraceae. The record is from RefSeq and is a predicted model, not a curated record.
UUGAUGGAAAGCAUUCACAAAUCAAAGGCUGAGAAGGCUAGAGAGAAGACGUUGUCUGAUCAGUUUGAGGCUAAACGUGUCAAGAACAAGGCUAGCCGGGAAAGGAAAUUGGCUCGCAAGGAGGAACGUUUUGCUCAGGGCCCACAGGAGAAAGUUCCAGCUCCAGCAGCCGCUGUUCCUGCAGCACAACCUGCACAGGCAACAAAGAAAUCCAAGAAAUGAGAUCUGAUUUUUUUGUCGAUGUUAGGUAUGAAGAAAAUGGGUGCUUUAAAA